AUGCUCACUUUGGCAGCACAUAUACUAAAAUUGGAAUGAUACAGACAUUAGCAUGGCCCCUGCACAAGGAUGACACACAAAUUCGUGAAAUGUUCCAUUAAAAA
RNAcentral lists this small nuclear RNA (104 nucleotides) under Saimiri boliviensis boliviensis (Bolivian squirrel monkey). Lineage: Eukaryota; Metazoa; Chordata; Mammalia; Primates; Cebidae. The record is from RNAcentral.